Molecule: ribosomal RNA, 465 nt
Filed under: uncultured bacterium
Lineage: Bacteria
Description: partial 16S ribosomal RNA
Rfam family: Bacterial small subunit ribosomal RNA
Source: RNAcentral
CCUACGGGAGGCUGCAGUAGGGAAUCUUCCACAAUGGGCGAAAGCCUGAUGGAGCAACGCCGCGUGGGUGAAGAAGGUCUUCGGAUCGUAAAACCCUGUUGUUAGAGAAGAAAGUGCGUGAGAGUAACUGUUCACGUUUCGACGGUAUCUAACCAGAAAGCCACGGCUAACUACGUGCCAGCAGCCGCGGUAAUACGUAGGUGGCAAGCGUUAUCCGGAUUUAUUGGGCGUAAAGGGAACGCAGGCGGUCUUUUAAGUCUGAUGUGAAAGCCUUCGGCUUAACCGGAGUAGUGCAUUGGAAACUGGGAGACGUGAGUGCAGAAGAGGAGAGUGGAACUCCAUGUGUAGCGGUGAAAUGCGUAGAUAUAUGGAAGAACACCAGUGGCGAAAGCGGCUCUCUGGUCUGUAACUGACGCUGAGGUUCGAAAGCGUGGGUAGCAAACAGGAUGAGAUACCCUGGUAGUC